AGAGUUUGAUCCUGGCUCAGGAUGAACGCUGGCGGCGCGCCUAACACAUGCAAGUCGAACGGCACCUAUCUUCGGAUAGAAGCGAGUGGCGAACGGCUGAGUAACACGUGGAGAACCUGCCCCCUCCCCCGGGAUAGCCGCCCGAAAGGACGGGUAAUACCGGAUACCCCGGGGUGCCGCAUGGCACCCCGGCUAAAGCCCCGACGGGAGGGGAUGGCUCCGCGGCCCAUCAGGUAGACGGCGGGGUGACGGCCCACCGUGCCGACAACGGGUAGCCGGGUUGAGAGACCGACCGGCCAGAUUGGGACUGAGACACGGCCCAGACUCCUACGGGAGGCAGCAGUGGGGAAUCUUGCGCAAUGGGGGGAACCCUGACGCAGCGACGCCGCGUGCGGGACGGAGGCCUUCGGGUCGUAAACCGCUUUCAGCAGGGAAGAGUCAAGACUGUACCUGCAGAAGAAGCCCCGGCUAACUACGUGCCAGCAGCCGCGGUAAUACGUAGGGGGCGAGCGUUAUCCGGAUUCAUUGGGCGUAAAGCGCGCGUAGGCGGCCCGGCAGGCCGGGGGUCGAAGCGGGGGGCUCAACCCCCCGAAGCCCCCGGAACCUCCGCGGCUUGGGUCCGGUAGGGGAGGGUGGAACACCCGGUGUAGCGGUGGAAUGCGCAGAUAUCGGGUGGAACACCGGUGGCGAAGGCGGCCCUCUGGGCCGAGACCGACGCUGAGGCGCGAAAGCUGGGGGAGCGAACAGGAUUAGAUACCCUGGUAGUCCCAGCCGUAAACGAUGGACGCUAGGUGUGGGGGGACGAUCCCCCCGUGCCGCAGCCAACGCAUUAAGCGUCCCGCCUGGGGAGUACGGCCGCAAGGCUAAAACUCAAAGGAAUUGACGGGGGCCCGCACAAGCAGCGGAGCAUGUGGCUUAAUUCGAAGCAACGCGAAGAACCUUACCAAAUCUUGACAUCCCUCUGACCAGGACUUAACCGUCCCUUUCCUUCGGGACAGGGGAGACAGAUGGUGCAUGGUUGUCGUCAGCUCGUGUCGUGAGAUGUUGGGUUAAGUCCCGCAACGAGCGCAACCCUUGUGAUUAGUUGCUACGCAAGAGCACUCUAAUCAGACUGCCGUUGACAAAACGGAGGAAGGUGGGGACGACGUCAAAUCAUCAUGCCCUUUAUGACCUGGGCUACACACGUACUACAAUGGUCGUUAACAGAGGGAAGCAAUACCGCGAGGUGGAGCAAAACCCUAAAAACGGUCUCAGUUCAGAUUGUAGGCUGCAACUCGCCUACAUGAAGUUGGAAUUGCUAGUAAUCGCGGAUCAGCAUGCCGCGGUGAAUGCGAUCCCGGGCCUUGCACACACCGCCCGUCA
Molecule: ribosomal RNA, 1362 nt
Filed under: uncultured bacterium
Lineage: Bacteria
Description: bacterial SSU rRNA
Rfam family: Bacterial small subunit ribosomal RNA
Source: RNAcentral